Cyprinus carpio carpio is the source of this 295-nucleotide long non-coding RNA. NCBI's taxonomy places the organism in Eukaryota, Metazoa, Chordata, Actinopteri, Cypriniformes, Cyprinidae. The record is from Ensembl.
AUUGAUGCAUCUAGGGAAGAUGGAUCGUUUGGGCGGUUAGUUAACGAUGACCACCAACAUCCAAAUUGUAAGAUGAAGAAAAUUGAUGUGAAUGGAAAGGCACACCUGUGUUUAUUUGCGCUGAAAGACAUUAAAGAAGGAGAAGAAAUCACAUACGAUUAUGGGGGAGACGACUGCCCAUGGAGAACCCAAGAGAGCAGCAUUGCUGCUAAUAGCAGAGCAGCAGGUGACUCUGAUCCUUCUCUCCAGUCUCAGACUCAGAUGGAUGAUGCUUCUGGUCAAACCAAGUCUCCUC